Molecule: long non-coding RNA, 1394 nt
Organism: Oncorhynchus tshawytscha (Chinook salmon)
Lineage: Eukaryota; Metazoa; Chordata; Actinopteri; Salmoniformes; Salmonidae
Source: Ensembl
UGGGCUAAUGUUGUUUAGGUGGGUCUGGGAUGAUGUUGUCUAGGUGGGUCUGGGUUAAUGUUGUUGUUGUUUAGGUGGGUCUGGGCUAAUGUUGUUGUUUAGGUGGGUCUGGGAUGAUGUUGUUGUCUAGGUGGGUCUGGGUUAAUGUUGUUGUCUAGGUGGGUCUGGGCUAAUGUUAUUGUUUAGGUGGGUCUGGGCUAAUGCUGUUGUCUAGGUGGGUCUGGGAUGAUGUUGUCUAGGUGGGUCUUGGUUAAUGUUGUUGUCUAGAUGGGUCUGGGCUAAUGUUGUUGUCUAGGUGGGUCUGGGUUAAUGUUGUUGUCUAGGUGGGUCUGGGCUAAUGUUGUUUAGGUGGGCCUGGGAUGAUGUUGUCUAGGUGGGUCUGGGUUGAUGAUGUUGUUUAGGUGGGUCUGGGUCUGGGCUAAUGUUGUUGUCUAGCUGGGUCUGGGCUAAUGUUGUUGUUUAGGUGGGUCUGGGCUAAUGUUGUUGUUGUUUAGGUGGGUCUGGGCUAAUGCUGUUGUCUAGGUGGGUCUGGGCUAAUGCUGUUGUCUAGGUGGGUCUGGGCUAAUGUUGUUGUUUAGGUGGGUCUGGGUCUGGGCUAAUGCUGUUGUCUAGCUGGGUCUGGGCUAAUGUUGUUGUUUAGGUGGGUCUGGGCUAAUGUUGUUGUUGUCUAGCUGGGUCUGGGCUAAUGUUAUUGUCUAGGUGGGUCUGGGCUAAUGUUGUUGUUUAGGUGGGUCUGGGCUAAUGUUGUUGUUGUCUAGGUGGGUCUGGGCUAAUGCUGUUGUCUAUCUGGGUCUGGGCUAAUGUUGUUGUUUAGGUGGGUCUGGGCUAAUGUUGUUUAGGUGGGUCUGGGAUGAUGUUGUUUAGGUGGGUCUGGGUUAAUGUUGUUGUUGUUUAGGUGGGUCUGGGAUGAUGUUGUUUAGGUGGGUCUGGGUUAAUGUUGUUGUUUAGGUGGGUCUGGGUUAAUGUUGUUUUUGUCUGUUUAUGGUGGGUCUGGGCUAAUGUUGUUGUUUAGGUGGGUCUGGGCUAAUGUUGUUGUUUAGGUGGGUCUGGGAUGAUGUUGUUUAGGUGGGUCUGGGUUAAUGUUGUUGUUGUUGUUGUUGUUUAGGUGGGUCUGGGCUAAUGUUGUUGUCUAGGUGGGUCUGGGUUAAUGUUGUUGUUGUUUAGGUGGGUCUGGGAUGAUGUUGUUUAGGUGGGUCUGGGUUAAUGUUGUUGUUGUUGUUGUUGUUUAGGUGGGUCUGGGCUAAUGUUGUUGUUGUUUAGGUGGGUCUGGGAUGUUGUUGUUUAGGUGGGUCUGGGCUAAUGUUGUUGUUGUUUAGGUGGGUCUGGGAUGAUGUUGUCUAGGUGGGUCUGGGCUAAUGUUGUUGUUUAGGUGGGUCUGGGAUGAUGUUGUUUAG